CAAAGGUUUGGUCCUGACCUUGAGAUCAACUCUUUCUUAACUUACACAUGCAAGUCUCAGCACCCCUGUGAGAACGCCCUUUAACUCCUCCAAGGGGUAAGGAGCCGGUAUCAGGCACAUUUUUAGCCCAAGACACCUAGCUAUGCCACACCCUCAAGGGAAUUCAGCAGUGAUUAACAUUAAACAUAAGCGACAGCUUGAUUCAGUUAAAGAAAAGAGAGCCGGCAAAUCUGGUGCCAGCCGCCGCGGUUACACCACGUGGCUCAAGUUGACCUUGCUCGGCGUAAAGCGUGAUUUAAGAGACCUGCCUAUGGUGUCAAAAAGGAGUUAAGCUGUGACACGCUUGCCCCUGAGAAGACCUAAAACGAAAGUUACACCAAUUGCACUAACUUGAACCCACGACAGCUUGGAAACAAACUGGGAUUAGAUACCCCACUAUGCCUAGCCGUAAACUUUAACUUACACCUCAAUCGCCAGGGAACUACGAGCAAAGCUUAAAACCCAAAGGACUUGACGGUACCCCAAAUCCACCUAGAGGAGCCUGUCCUGUAAUCGAUAACCCCCGCUUAACCUCACCUCUUAUCGUCCAUCAGCCUGUAUACCUCCGUCGUCAGCUUACCACGUGAGCGCCACUGAGUGAGCCUAAUGCCCAUACGCCAAUACGUCAGGUCAAGGUGCAGCUAAUGAAGAGGGAAGAGAUGGGCUACACUCUCUACCUUAGAGAAAACAAAAGACUAUUUAUGAAACCUAGUCGGAAGGAGGAUUUAGUAGUAAAAAGAAAACAGAGUGUUCUUUUUAACUCGGCACUGGGAUGUGUACACACCG
This 825-nucleotide non-coding RNA is filed under the name Leptodactylus podicipinus (pointedbelly frog). RNAcentral's name for it is "partial 12S ribosomal RNA". It matches the Rfam family "Bacterial small subunit ribosomal RNA". Lineage: Eukaryota; Metazoa; Chordata; Amphibia; Anura; Leptodactylidae. The record is from RNAcentral.